GAACUGUAGAGUUUGAUCCUGGCUCAGAUUGAACGCUGGCGGCAUGCCUUACACAUGCAAGUCGAACGGUAACAGGUCUUCGGAUGCUGACGAGUGGCGAACGGGUGAGUAAUACAUCGGAACGUGCCCGAUCGUGGGGGAUAACGAAGCGAAAGCUUUGCUAAUACCGCAUACGAUCUACGGAUGAAAGCAGGGGACCGCAAGGCCUUGCGCGAACGGAGCGGCCGAUGGCAGAUUAGGUAGUUGGUGGGAUAAAAGCUUACCAAGCCGACGAUCUGUAGCUGGUCUGAGAGGACGACCAGCCACACUGGGACUGAGACACGGCCCAGACUCCUACGGGAGGCAGCAGUGGGGAAUUUUGGACAAUGGGCGAAAGCCUGAUCCAGCCAUGCCGCGUGCAGGAUGAAGGCCUUCGGGUUGUAAACUGCUUUUGUACGGAACGAAAAGACUCUGGUUAAUACCUGGGGUCCAUGACGGUACCGUAAGAAUAAGCACCGGCUAACUACGUGCCAGCAGCCGCGGUAAUACGUAGGGUGCAAGCGUUAAUCGGAAUUACUGGGCGUAAAGCGUGCGCAGGCGGU
This 581-nucleotide non-coding RNA is filed under the name Acidovorax temperans. Its description in RNAcentral is "Bacterial small subunit ribosomal RNA". It matches the Rfam family "Bacterial small subunit ribosomal RNA", at positions 1 to 579 of the family's 1533-position model. Lineage: Bacteria; Pseudomonadati; Pseudomonadota; Betaproteobacteria; Burkholderiales; Comamonadaceae. The record is from Rfam by way of RNAcentral.